AUCCUCUAGUUUUGCUAAAGCCAGUGUCAGUUUGGUUUCUCUCACUUGCAGUUAAAAGAGUUCUGAUGGAUAAAGAUGUAAAUCAGUUGUUCCCAAACUUUUUCGAUUCACAGCACCUUCAGUAAUUUUCUCACAGCGCUCUAGGCCAAAAGAAAUACCUAGCAGUUCCAUUUAUUACGUAGUUAGGUUCAAUUUAAUAAACAUUUAUGUCCUAACAAAUGAGUAGCUGUUUGAAAAUAUAAUACACAGAAAUUGAAAGAAAAAAUUUGUAUUUCAUUCUUAGCCAGUUACUUACGGCAUGUGUGCGACUGUGAGGCAUUGCACAACUUUUCAAACUUUGGAGUCAGAUGGGACGAUGCCGUGCUUACUUCCUAUUCCACAUUCAUUUGUGUGCUGUGCUUGCAGUAUCAUGGCAACUGCUAAAACUCAGCAUCACAAAAUAUAGCAUCACCAAAAUGAAUGUAGUAUGAUUAAUGUUAGACUGUAAAUUAUCUUGAACUAGUAAUUUGCACAAUGUCUGAGAGUUGUCAAAUAUCAAUAUUCCUGUCAAAAAUUUUAAAGAUCCCACAGCUCCCAGACACACACUUUUCCAAUGAGUUCACUGCGGCUCCCCAGGGCUCAGCGCACAACCCGGGAACCACAGGUGCAACGUGUUCCCUGCCCAGAAGUCACAAGGCCGGAAUAAACAAUCUCCUACAGUUCCUUCUAGAUCAAAGAUUUAUAAUUCUGUGAUUCAAGGUCCCAGGCAAAAUCCCCAAUCCCAGUUCUAUUUCCUGCUUUUACCUAAAUCAAUAGCUUUUCCUUUUUAAUGCCUUUGGCUCCAUACCCACUGUGGCCACAUUAAGUAAUUUUACUGAUUACCAUACCCAAGGUACAGUCUCCAAGAUAUGCAUACAUACUAGGGUGUUUGUUUCUGCGCUGUCUGCUAUAGCAACCAACACAACGCAAGUAUCCAUAAAUAGUAGAGUGUAUCCAUAUAAUGGAACACCAGGGAACAAUUUUCAUUCAUUUGUUUAACAAAUACACAGUGCUUGCUACACACCAUGCACGGUUCCAAGGGUGUUACAAAUAUUAACUUAUUUAAGUUAUUAUCAAAAAGAAUGAUGAUCUGUAGUGAGCUCCAAAAUAGUCCUAAGUGGGGAAAAAAAUAAAGUGCAGGAUAAUGUGUAUAGGAUAACUCCUUUGGUUCAGAUUUUGUAGAAUUAAGUAGAUAGACAGGUGAGGAUAUAUAAAAGUAAAAUCAUUUAUAAGGAGAAUCCGAACAAAAUGUUAAUAGUGAUUACCUUUGGGAGUUGGACUAGGAGUGGGAAAAGUUCCUGCUUUUCAUUCUUCAUUUUUUUUAUACUGUUGAGUUUUAUAAACAUGAGCAUGUCUUACUUUUAAUUUUUUUUCAAGUCAACUGGUUGAUGGAAAAAUGGGCUUUUUUGUUUUUGUUUUUUCUUUAUUAAAAAAGACUAAAUACACACACAUACAAUUUUCAAGCCAAAUAAAAUUAAAGUAUGAGACUAGAUUAGUGGUCACCAAAUGCCAUAUACCGUGCUAAGUGAGAACCACCUAAGGACAGUUUAAAAAACGUUGCUUCGGGGUCCCAUCACAGACUUACUGAAUUAGACUCCAGAGGGGCCUCCCCCACUCCCAUUUCCCAGGUGAUUUGAAUGUGCAGCCCGCUUUGGGAAUCCCUGAUCUCUAAGGCCUCUACCACUCUUCCUAGCUCCAUGAUUUGGGAACUGAUUCCUCCGUGCUCUGUAGCCAGUCUAAGUCAGAUGUGGGCACAUUCUAGGAUGGAGGAGAAGCCUCUAGCGAGGCUCUCAGGGCCACAGGAUUAUAAGGCAGGGGGCCUGCCCCGGAGGAAGAGGCACAGGCUGGCCCUGCCUCAGCCUCAGAAACAUGGUCACUUUCUCCAAGGUCUAAGGCAUAGAAGCAUGAGUCACAGGAGACGCACACUGUUAAAGAGGGACGGGGUGGGGAAAAUCAUUCGUUGUGGUCUCCUGAUUACAUCAAUAGCUAGCUUGCCUUGGGCCAAAAGAACCACACAAAAGCCCUUUCCGGUAAACCCAUUAACAUCAAACAGUCUCUGUAACUCCAAAUGCCAGGAACACAUAAUCUCCCUGGCUGAUUUUCAUAAGGAAAACCUGUCAUUUACGGGAACUCAGGCUUCAGGGCUCAUCCACAAGCUAGAACUAGCCUUGUUUCACAGGUGGCAAAAUUGAAGCCCAAAGGUCUUCCCCCACCUUCAAGCCCACCCGCUUCCAGAAUGAUCACUCAAAGACAUCAAUCUGAUCAGAUCACUGGCCCUAAUUAAAACAAAACAGAACAAAUCGAUGAAUAAAUGAAACUUUGUCUGUAACCUGUAUUCCAGACUGUACCACUAUUACUUUUUCACACAUGAAAUUGUUUAAAACCCAGUCACAAAAACAGAUAAAAUUGGAGCUCCUCUAGACUGCUGGGGAGUGCUCAGCGAGAGGGGUUUGGGGUCCUAUCCAGUAAGCAGAGCUGAAUCCUUAGAGGCCCUAAGCACUAGAGAUUAGGGUGCCCACCCCCUUCACAUAUAUAAUUCAAACUCAAAUCAAUACUAAGCCGUAACACCAAAAUGUACAUGUUAUAAUGAAAUUAAAGUCAUUUUUUUCUUCUAACUGAAAAGAUCUGAGAACAUAACUUUUCCCAGUUGUUUUUCUGGUGUCCCCACUUAGCACAGCCUGCUCACUUGGUACAGCACAGCUGUUCAGCUGCUCCUUGACUCCUUGGGCUCCUCAGAACACAGAUUGAAAGUCACAAGCUGUGAUGUUCUCCAAGGGCCCUUCAGGGCUCUAAGGCUGGCCAUACACGUGGCCAGGAGUCAGAGGGCACAGGGAGCUCCCUCUCUCUGUUUCAACCCUCUCAGUCCUCCAGCGUGUUCUCUGAUGAGCUGUUCCCUCCCAUGUAACAGAGGUUCCAGUAACUUCCACCUUUCCCCACUGUGAAAGAAAAGAUAUUUUCCCCCAAAUGAGAACUACACAAACCAUAUGUUCAGCACCAUUAAUGGCAUGCUAGAAAAAUUGGCUUGAGAAAAAGCAGGACUCGCUGACUUCUGUUUGACCUCAUCUGGCAUCUGGGUGACUGGCUCCUUGUGAGGGCAUAAAACUGUUUCUUGGUACAUCUAAUGAAUAACUAUAGAUCAAUAUGCUUAUUGUUUGCUUUGCAGAUAUAUUACUUGUGAUUUCUAAUGAAUACAUCAAGUUGGAAUAUGGCACAAGCCAUUCAUGUCACAAAUGUAACCUUAUCAUUGAUAAAAAUAUAAUGUUUUUAUGACCACGGAAGGUAAACCAGCAGUCAGGCCUAAAUUCUUGUUACUUCAAACUGGUAUACUUUAUCUAUUUACCUCAUUAAUAAAUAAUAAACUU
This 3380-nucleotide long non-coding RNA is filed under the name Phocoena sinus (vaquita). RNAcentral's name for it is "lncRNA (ENSPSNG00000015848.1)". The record is from RNAcentral. Lineage: Eukaryota; Metazoa; Chordata; Mammalia; Artiodactyla; Phocoenidae.